AGAGUUUGAUCCUGGCUCAGGACGAACGCUGGCGGCGUGCUUACACAUGCAAGUCGAGCGAUGAAGCUCCUUCGGGAGUGGAUUAGCGGCGGACGGGUGAGUAACACGUGGGUAACCUGCCUCAGUAGAGGGGAAUAGCCUUUCGAAAGGAAGAUAAUACCGCAUAAGAUUGUAGUACCCGCAUGGUAUAGCAAUUAAAGGAGUAAUCCGCUAUGAGAUGGACCCGCGUCGCAUUAGCUAGUUGGUGAGGUAACUGCUCACCAAGGCGACGAUGCGUAGCCGACCUGAGAGGGUGAUCGGUCACAUUGGGACUGAGACACGGCCCAGACUCCUACGGGAGGCAGCAGCGGGGAAUAUUGCACAAUGGGGGAGACCCUGAUGCAGCAACGCCGCGUGAGUGAUGACGGUCUUCGGAUUGUAAAGCUCUGUCUUUAGGGACGAUAAUGACGGUACCUAAGGAGGAAGCCACGGCUAACUACGUGCCAUCAGCCGCGGUAAUACGUAGGUGGCAAGCGUUGUCCGGAUU
RNAcentral lists this ribosomal RNA (526 nucleotides) under uncultured Clostridium sp. RNAcentral describes it as "bacterial SSU rRNA". It matches the Rfam family "Bacterial small subunit ribosomal RNA", at positions 8 to 551 of the family's 1533-position model. The record is from RNAcentral. Lineage: Bacteria; Bacillati; Bacillota; Clostridia; Eubacteriales; Clostridiaceae.